Long non-coding RNA from Chelonus insularis, 786 nucleotides. RefSeq lists it as uncharacterized. The record is from RefSeq and is a predicted model, not a curated record. The transcript has 3 exons. NCBI's taxonomy places the organism in Eukaryota, Metazoa, Arthropoda, Insecta, Hymenoptera, Braconidae.
UCAAAAAUAACUUUGGAGGCCGAACGUCUUCGACGUCGACGACAACGUCUAAAUCGAGGGUAAGGAUGAUUAUUUUGUCCUAGCACGGAUCGUGUCAUCCUCGUUUCAAGUGGCUAAAUAAUACCUUUGCGGCAUCCCUGACUAAUAAGCUAAUAACCUCGCAAAUUAGUGCCUUCUAAUAUUUAUUUUCGAAUCUUCAUUGAUAGAAUGAUUGACAUCAACCACACAGUCAACUAGAUAUGUUAUAGUUACGUCAACAAUCAAAAUAACAGCUGCUAACAAUCGACUUUUCCAGUCAAGCCUGCGGACACAGGUUACGGAAUGACUAUCACUGAUACUUGGAAUAUUGGCAAGACUUGCGCAACCGCCACUAGUACCCAUGAAAUUACGCCUGCGUAUCUAUCAAAUGCAUCAACUACGCAGGUUUCGCGGGUGGUUCGAUGGUAAUGAUAGAACAUAGGCUGGGUAAAAUGAAAUUUAGCUGAUCGUAUCAUUGACUUGUGCUACUUAGUUACAGUAAUCUUAAAAUAAGAGCGAAUGAAUCUUGAUGAUCAGCUCAACCAAGCAAGAAGAUGAAGUGAUUGUUCAACGACAUUUUCUAUUGAUAUUCUUGAAAUAUUUGACGGGUAGCCAAUUGUAUUAUAUAAAUUAAUGAAGCACUGGAUAAAUGUUAAAAGUAGAUUUUGAGAUUCUUGUCAGGCAAGAAAAGUUUAUUCAGUGUUUGAAAUAACCCAUUCAGAAGAAAAGAAAAAAAUACCAUCAAAGUUUCUUUCUACUUAAUUAAUU